AAUAGUUUUUUAAUUGGAAACUGGAAUGAAUGAUUGAACAAAAAAUAAUCUGUCUUUUUUAUAAAAGUUGAAAUUUACUUUUAAGUGAAAAGGCUUAAAUUUUUUAAAGGGACGAUAAGACCCUUUAAAACUUUACAAGAUGAAAAUAAUUUAUUAAGUAAAAUUAAAGUUAAUUAUUUUUAAUUCUGUUUCGUUGGGGUGAUGAAGAUAUAAAAAUAACUGUCUUAUAUUUAAAAUAAUUGUAAUUAGAGUAUAUAUAUGAUCCUUAUUUUAUUUUAAGAUUAAAAGAAAAAGUUACUUUAGGGAUAACAGCGUAAUUUUUUCUGAGAGUUCUUAUUUAUGAAAAUAGUUGCGACCUCGAUGUUGAAUUAAGAUUUUUAUUAAGGUGCAGCAGUUUUAAUUAUAAGUCUGUUCGACUUUUAAAAUCUU
RNAcentral lists this ribosomal RNA (429 nucleotides) under Parapasiphae sulcatifrons. Its description in RNAcentral is "partial 16S ribosomal RNA". Lineage: Eukaryota; Metazoa; Arthropoda; Malacostraca; Decapoda; Pasiphaeidae. The record is from RNAcentral.